UACAGAGGUCUCAAGCGUUGUUCGGAUUCAUUGGGCGUAAAGGGUGCGUAGGCGGCGCGGUAAGUCGGGUGUGAAAUCUUGGAGCUUAACUCCGAAACUGCAUUCGAUACUGCCGUGCUUGAGGACUGGAGAGGAGACUGGAAUUUACGGUGUAGCGGUGAAAUGCGUAGAUAUCGUAAGGAAGACCAGUGGCGAAGGCGGGUCUCUGGACAGUUCCUGACGCUGAGGCACGAAGGUCAGGGGAGCGAACAGG
RNAcentral lists this ribosomal RNA (253 nucleotides) under uncultured bacterium. RNAcentral describes it as "partial 16S ribosomal RNA". It matches the Rfam family "Bacterial small subunit ribosomal RNA", at positions 524 to 776 of the family's 1533-position model. The record is from RNAcentral.